CAAAAUUUGGACACUUCUUAAACCCAAUUUGCCGCCCCCUUUCCCUCACUUUCCCAUCUUAUUUUCUUUCCUCCAUAGCCAAUUCCUCCCAAAUUUGAAGAAGAAGAAGACCAAGAAAUUUAAACCUAGCCAAAUUCCUACCUUAAUCAUCACCAAUCAAGCCUUAGGAAGAAGAAGAAAAUCAGCAAUUGAAGAAGUUGAAGGUAGCAGAGAGCAGUCAUCAACAAAGGGGCCACAGUAAUUGCAUCAGCUUCAAAUCACAUCAGACAUUUUAUAAAGUUUCUUUUCUAUCAAACCUGUGAAAAGUUGUAAAUUAUUGGCAUGUAUAUUAGAAAUAGUUGUUGUAAUUAAGUAAACUAUUUUGUACCAAUCUUUUUACUUUUUGUGUAAUUUAUAAUGGUUAUUGCAAACUUUAUCUUUUCAAUGA
Long non-coding RNA from Hevea brasiliensis (rubber tree), 427 nucleotides. RefSeq lists it as uncharacterized. The record is from RefSeq and is a predicted model, not a curated record. The transcript has 2 exons. Lineage: Eukaryota; Viridiplantae; Streptophyta; Magnoliopsida; Malpighiales; Euphorbiaceae.